This is a non-coding RNA of Gopherus flavomarginatus (Mexican gopher tortoise), 73 nucleotides long. Lineage: Eukaryota; Metazoa; Chordata; Testudines; Testudinidae. The record is from the annotation of a RefSeq genome assembly.
GCCUGUCUAGAUCAGUUGGUAGAGCAUCAGAUUCUUAAUCUGAGGGUCAUGGGUUCAAGUCCCUGGUCAGGUG